Molecule: long non-coding RNA, 1201 nt
Filed under: Homo sapiens (human)
Lineage: Eukaryota; Metazoa; Chordata; Mammalia; Primates; Hominidae
Description: HSALNT0200824
Source: RNAcentral
UUGUACAAAGUCUUCAAAAUCCAGUGUACUUAGAGCACAUCUCAGUUCAAACUAGCCACAUUUCAAGUGCUCAGUAGCCACAUAUGGCUAGUGGUCACUGAAUUGAGCAGUACAGGACUUGAUAAUAAGGCGAGAGGAGAAAGUAACCAAACAAGAGAGAGUCAAAUUAAGUUCUUUUGGCUCAUUGGGCAAAUUGUAAAUGCUUCUCUGGGAUUAGCUGCCUUCAGUUUUUACAACACCAAAGCUGAGAAGUCUGGUUGCAAACAGUCUGAGUUGGGCUGCCCAAGAUUCUAGCCAGCCAAGAGUCAAUCAGUCGAUGAGCUUAGUUGCACAUGGGUGAAACUUGGCAAGAUUUAUCUUUGCCAUCCAAACACGUUUGCAGUCCACACCAGAUGAGAACAUAUAUGCUUUUUAUUAUUUAAUCAGCCAUCCUGAUCUUCAGUUAGGAUGACCAUAGAAUUUUUUGUCCAAACCGGCACACUUUUGAGAGAGAAAGAAGGCACUAUUAAUAAUGGUCCUGGGACAACAGGCAUAAUAUGAGACUGUUCCUGCUGGCAAAUCAGGACAUACGGUUACCCUACCUUUAGUCAAUGUUUCCAUCUCUCAAAAGAACUUGGGUUACUGCCAGUAGUCACAUGUAUCUCCAGGAUACAUGUAACUCCAAGUAAGAGGUGCCAGUUCCCACAGCAGCCUAUGCACAAAGCCCUAAAUUUAUCUUAUAGGAUUCAUCUCAAGAGCCUGCAUCAUACAGGGUCCUUUACUCCCAUGUCUAAUAACACUGCUUUGAUGCAAUUUGCAAGCUUCUUGUUUUGCAAUUUUCCACUCUGAGUCUUGUUUAAAUUAGGGGUUUAAUGAGAAAUUGCUGUUGUUAGUUAAAUGACACCUCUUUUUGGCAGGGUCUCCCAAGGAAACUAGAGGACCAGUAAACAAACUGUGCAUGAAGGUGGAUAGAAUAGCCCUAUUUUUUUUUUUUUGGGUCCUUUCUUUUCUGUCUUUCUUUCCUGUCUUUCUUUCAUUUUCUCUUAUAUAUGAAAAGAAGUACAGCAAUCAGCUGUGACAGCCGAGAGAAAUGUUUCAUGGGAAGUAACAGAUGGCUCAAAGCCACCUUCAUUUCUGAGGAGAGGGAGAGUGCCUGUGGGCCUGGAAAAUUGAAGGAUCUCAUCCAGGAUGCCACAUGAUAUUUAGUAGUUGUGUCUUCUUA